UACGUAGGGGGCAAGCGUUGUCCGGAAUCAUUGGGCGUAAAGAGCGUGUAGGCGGCCCGGUAAGUCCGCUGUAAAAGUCAAAGGCUCAACCUUUGAAUGUCAGUGGAUGCUGCCGGGCUAGAGUCCGGAAGAGGCGAGUGGAACUCCUGGUGUAGCGGUGGAAUGCGCAGAUAUCAGGAAGAACACCAACGGCGAAGGCAGCUCGCUGGGACGGUACUGACGCUGAGACGCGAAAGCGUGGGGAGCGAACAGG
This 253-nucleotide ribosomal RNA is filed under the name uncultured bacterium. RNAcentral's name for it is "partial 16S ribosomal RNA". It matches the Rfam family "Bacterial small subunit ribosomal RNA", at positions 524 to 776 of the family's 1533-position model. The record is from RNAcentral.